RNAcentral lists this ribosomal RNA (938 nucleotides) under Lopescladius sp. 1 SRM-2010. RNAcentral describes it as "bacterial SSU rRNA". It matches the Rfam family "Eukaryotic small subunit ribosomal RNA", at positions 460 to 1333 of the family's 1831-position model. Lineage: Eukaryota; Metazoa; Arthropoda; Insecta; Diptera; Chironomidae. The record is from RNAcentral.
GGAGGUAGUGACGAAAAAUAACAAUAUAGAACUAGUUAACUAUGUUCUGUAAUUGGAAUGAAUCUAUUCUAAACUCAUAUAUGAGGAUCAAGUGGAGGGCAAGUUCGGUGCCAGCAGCCGCGGUAAUUCCGACUCCACUAGCGUAUGUUAAAAUUGUUGCGGUUAAAACGUUCGAAGUUGAUUUUUGUCCGGUUCGAGCGCGGCACCAUCAAGUAAUGGUUGCUGUCGUUUUCGGUGACUUGGACUAUAUGACCGGGCACUUAAUGAACGGCGCUGAUGCCUUUCAUUAGGCUAGGCGUCCGUUUAGUCCGGCUUACUAUUACCUUGAACAAAUUAAGGUGCUCAAAGCAGGCUCUAUAUGCCUUGAAUAUUUUUGCAUGGAAUAAUGGAAAAAGACCUCGGUCUUAUAGGUGAUGUGUAUGAAAUAUUGCACUUGCCGCUUUCUAUUGGUUUGAUACAGAUCAAGAGGUAAUGAUUAAUAGAAGCAGUCGGGGGCAUUAGUAUUACGGCGCGAGAGGUGAAAUUCUUAGACCGUCGUACGACUAACUAAAGCGAAGGCAUUUGUCAAGGAUGUUUUCAUUAAUCAAGAACGAAAGUUUAAGGAUCGAAGACGAUUAGAUACCGUCCUAGUUUAAACAGUAAACGAUGACAACUAGCAAUUGGAUGUCACUACUAUUCAUGGUGCAUUCAGUAGCUUUCCGGGAAACUAAAGUUAGUUUCCGGGGGAAGUAUGGUUGCAAAGUUGAAACUUAAAGGAAUUGACGGAAGUUUACACCAGAAAUGGAACCUGCGGCUUAAUUUGACUCAACACGGGACAACUUACCAGGUCAGAACUUUAUGGGGUUUGCCAGCUUUAUAGCGCUUGCAUAAAAUAAAGGGUAGUGGUGCAUGGCCGUUCUUAGUUCGUGGAAUGAUUUGUCUGGUUGAUUCCGAUAACG